AUGAUCACCAUACUUAGGCAGCGAGAGGCAGUUGCCACAGGCCAGGACGAGCUUUCACGCAUGGUGGACGGGUUCUAUGAUCGCUUGUUGGGGAAGGCCCCGCUGCGGGCGCAAGCCCUCAAUCUGGAAGUCUUGAACCUGCCACAUAGAGACCUAGCGCACCUUGAGGUGCCUUCAACGGAGGAGGAGAUCGAGCAGGUAAUCAAGUCUAUACCCAUGGACAAGGCGUCGGGGCCGGACGGCUUCACCGGUAGAUUCUAUGUUUCCUGUUGGCCCACAAUCAAAGAUGACAUCAUGCAUGCCAUGGACCUUUUCCACCAAGGUGACAUGCGUGGGCUACCAGUGAUCAACAAAGCCAUUGUUACACUCCUUCCUAAGAUCGAUGGAGCAGUGGAUCUAAAGGACUUCUGA
RNAcentral lists this ribosomal RNA (411 nucleotides) under Triticum aestivum (bread wheat). RNAcentral describes it as "partial small subunit ribosomal RNA". Lineage: Eukaryota; Viridiplantae; Streptophyta; Magnoliopsida; Poales; Poaceae. The record is from RNAcentral.